Molecule: unclassified non-coding RNA, 287 nt
Filed under: Hevea brasiliensis (rubber tree)
Lineage: Eukaryota; Viridiplantae; Streptophyta; Magnoliopsida; Malpighiales; Euphorbiaceae
Source: RNAcentral
AGAAUCCUCAAAACAGUCAAAGUUCUCUUCUAUUGGUUCUAGCUUCAAGCAACAACUGCAGUCUUUGCUUGAAACUCUGAAUGCAACGGAACCCCAUUAUAUUCGAUGUGUGAAGCCAAAUAAUCUGCUAAAGCCCUCUAUCUUUGAGAAUCACAAUGUUCUGCAACAGCUGUGCUGUGGGGGAGUGAUGGAAGCAAUAAGAAUAAGCUGUGCUGGAUAUCCUACUCGGAGACCCUUUUAUGAAUUUUUAGAUCGCUUUGGCAUCCUUUCGCCUGAAGUUUUAGAUG